AGAAGGUUGUAAAAGUAAUAAAAGACCUAAAUUAGAAACAAUUCAAGAACGAUAUUGGAUGAAAAUACCAUUUUAAAUAAUGCUACGAGUCCCACCACUCAAAACCAAACCAUCUCCGGGCGACGUAAAUGCUAAUUGACCGGAGCAACUCCGACCAGUUUGUAAAUAUAAAGAAAGGAUUUCACACCAUUUCUCCCAAAUUUCGCCUCAAGUCCCACCGUUGAAAACCAUCCAUAUCCGGCCAAAAUCUAGGGAACUGACCGGUGCAACUUCGAGUUGUUUGUAAAUAGAAAGUUGAUGCCUUUUUCAUCAAGAAUUCCAAAAUCUACACAAACGUAAAAUGGUAGACAAAGGUGUUUUCUCAUCCUUCUUUGUUGGGUUCUAAAUUGUUUAGCUUCUCUGUGUCCCCACACACUUAAAAUCGGCUCAUUCACGGCUGUCCCAACC
This 447-nucleotide long non-coding RNA is filed under the name Olea europaea (common olive). RNAcentral's name for it is "long non-coding RNA (OEUR_LNC013520)". The record is from RNAcentral. Lineage: Eukaryota; Viridiplantae; Streptophyta; Magnoliopsida; Lamiales; Oleaceae.